UGAUGGGGGCUAAAUUAGCUGUUCCCACUCAAGAAAGAGAUCUUGCAUCUAGGAGUCAUUUUGGAUAGUUCUUAGAAAACAUCCACUCGAUGUGCUGCGGCAGUCCAAAAAGCGAACUGAAAGUUGGGAAUCAUUAAGAAAGGGAGAGAUAAUAAAACAGAAAAUAUCAUAUUGCCCCUCUAGGUAAAUCCAUGGUACACCCACAUCUUGAAUACUGUGUGCACUUAUUGCUGCCAUGUCUCUAAAAAGAGAUAUUGGAAUUGGAAAAGGUUCAGAAAAGGGCAACAGAAAUGAGUAGGGGUCUGGAACAGCUUCCGUAUGAGGAGAGAUUAAUAAAACUGGGACUUUUCAACUUGG
This is a long non-coding RNA of Dermochelys coriacea (leatherback sea turtle), 357 nucleotides long. RefSeq lists it as uncharacterized. The transcript has 3 exons. The record is from RefSeq and is a predicted model, not a curated record. Lineage: Eukaryota; Metazoa; Chordata; Testudines; Dermochelyidae.